RNAcentral lists this ribosomal RNA (444 nucleotides) under uncultured Pseudomonas sp. RNAcentral describes it as "bacterial SSU rRNA". It matches the Rfam family "Bacterial small subunit ribosomal RNA", at positions 939 to 1382 of the family's 1533-position model. Lineage: Bacteria; Pseudomonadati; Pseudomonadota; Gammaproteobacteria; Pseudomonadales; Pseudomonadaceae. The record is from RNAcentral.
AUGUGGUUAAUUCGAAGCAACGCGAAGAACCUUACCAGGCCUUGACAUGCAGAGAACUUUCCAGAGAUGGAUUGGUGCCUUCGGGAACUCUGACACAGGUGCUGCAUGGCUGUCGUCAGCUCGUGUCGUGGAGAUGUUGGGUUAAGUCCCGUAACGAGCGCAACCCUUGUCCUUAGUUACCAGCACGUUAUGGUGGGCACUCUAAGGAGACUGCCGGUGACAAACCGGAGGAAGGUGGGGAUGACGUCAAGUCAUCAUGGCCCUUACGGCCUGGGCUACACACGUGCUACAAUGGUCGGUACAAAGGGUUGCCAAGCCGCGAGGUGGAGCUAAUCCCAUAAAACCGAUCGUAGUCCGGAUCGCAGUCUGCAACUCGACUGCGUGAAGUCGGAAUCGCUAGUAAUCGUGAAUCAGAAUGUCACGGUGAAUACGUUCCCGGGCCUU